UAGGGAAUCUUCCGCAAUGGGCGAAAGCCUGACGGAGCAACGCCGCGUGAGUGAUGAAGGUCUUCGGAUCGUAAAACUCUGUUAUUAGGGAAGAACAAAUGUGUAAGUAACUAUGCACGUCUUGACGGUACCUAAUCAGAAAGCCACGGCUAACUACGUGCCAGCAGCCGCGGUAAUACGUAGGUGGCAAGCGUUAUCCGGAAUUAUUGGGCGUAAAGCGCGCGUAGGCGGUUUUUUAAGUCUGAUGUAAAAGCCCACGGCUCAACCGUGGAGGGUCAUUGGAAACUGGAAAACUUGAGUGCAGAAGAGGAAAGUGGAAUUCCAUGUGUAGCGGUGAAAUGCGCAGAGAUAUGGAGGAACACCAGUGGCGAAGGCGACUUUCUGGUCUGUAACUGACGCUGAUGUGCGAAAGCGUGGGGAUCAAACAGG
Molecule: ribosomal RNA, 429 nt
Filed under: Actinomycetes bacterium
Lineage: Bacteria; Bacillati; Actinomycetota; Actinomycetes
Description: Actinobacteria bacterium partial 16S ribosomal RNA
Rfam family: Bacterial small subunit ribosomal RNA
Source: RNAcentral